AGAGCGAACGCUGGCGGCAGGCUUAACACAUGCAAGUCGAGCGGGCGUAGCAAUACGUCAGCGGCAGACGGGUGAGUAACGCGUGGGAACAUACCUUUUGGUUCGGAACAACCCAGGGAAACUUGAGCUAAUACCGGAUACGCCCUUACGGGGAAAGAUUUAUUGCCGAAGGAACGGCCCGCGUCCGAUUAGCUUGUUGGUGAGGUAACGGCUCACCAAGGCGACGAUCGGUAGCUGGUCUGAGAGGAUGACCAGCCUCACUGGGACUGAGACACGGCCCAGACUCCUACGGGAGGCAGCAGUGGGGAAUAUUGGACAAUGGGCGCAAGCCUGAUCCAGCCAUGCCGCGUGGAUGAUGAAGGCCCUAGGGUUGUAAGUCCGUUUUAACGGGAAGUAUAAUGACGGUACCCGUAGAAUAGCCCGGCUAACUUCGCGCCAGCAGCCGC
Molecule: ribosomal RNA, 446 nt
Filed under: uncultured bacterium
Lineage: Bacteria
Description: SSU rRNA
Rfam family: Bacterial small subunit ribosomal RNA
Source: RNAcentral